UCUACUUUUCUAGCCGCUUGUAGGAGUAGGAUUUAGUCAUGUAGUGCGUUUUGCUCGCUUAGAGUAGUGUAGGUUUGGUUGGGACCAAGUGUAUUCGUGCAUUCCUCGUGCCAAGCGCGUGUGGACGAGUGGCUGAGGUGGAUAUGGACGAGUGCUAGGUGACGGAUGUGGACGAGUGCGAAGUGGCUCAUGUGGACUCGCGUGUGGUGGCGUGGGAGUGGUGGAUGGCGACCUGCCCGGCGCCAUCCUCUGUAACUGCAGUGCCUUCUGAAGUCUGAGCUCGGGUUCAGAGGCCUUCCACGUGCUGACGAGGACCAUGCGAAUACGGCGUGAGUCCAAUGGUGGCGGUGCGCUGCGGACGUCGGCUGGCGUCACCACCGCGGCACCGUCGGGCCAGGGUGGGAUAGCGUCGACGGGCAGCUGCUGCGUGAGCGACGUUGCCUCGCUGGAGCCGAGCUCUCCGCUCUCCAGCUGCUCGGCCGGCUCGGACGGCGGCGAGCCGCGCCCUCCGCC
Pollicipes pollicipes is the source of this 513-nucleotide long non-coding RNA. RefSeq lists it as uncharacterized. The record is from RefSeq and is a predicted model, not a curated record. Lineage: Eukaryota; Metazoa; Arthropoda; Thecostraca; Pollicipedomorpha; Pollicipedidae. The transcript has 3 exons.